Molecule: long non-coding RNA, 593 nt
Filed under: Homo sapiens (human)
Lineage: Eukaryota; Metazoa; Chordata; Mammalia; Primates; Hominidae
Description: HSALNT0212394
Source: RNAcentral
AAUUGUUUUUAAAAAUAGCCCUUUUCAUUCUUUUUGAACAUGAAGAAGUGCUUCAUGCUCCUGUGACAGACAGAAAACUUGUACCAGACAUAGUGAUAAAGGCUGAGAAUCAUCAUUGUUCUUAUAUUUUUGUUUACCUAUUGAAGCAGCAAGGAUCUUUGUCUGAUAUUCUGAACCCCAGAGUCAUAUGAGAAGAAGAAAAAUGAAUGGAUGAAGGAAUAAGUCUCUUCUUCAACUCAGGAAAAAAGACAGCAAAUUAUUCUGUUGUAUUGAAAUACUACACAAUAUGCAUGUGAUGGGUUCCUGAUGCCCAGAGUUCUGGGCUCCUUGCCUUGCUGGAUCAUAUUAUCAUUAUGCUAAGCCAAUGGUUCCUCAUUUACUAUGGAGUAAAUGGAAAAAACAUCCCAAACACAGCAUCACAUGGAAUGUGGUUCAAAAUACUGACUGGGUAAUGAAUACUAUCAACAAAUAUAAUUUUAUGUUAGUAGAAAAAGAUAUUAGCUAAUUUUACAAACCUUGUAAUAUAUAACUACAAUAUGUUGAUUCUAUAGAAUUAUUGUAAAGCUACUGUAAACAAAGCAGCAGUGAGAUGC